UACAGAGACUGCAAGCGUUAUUCGGAUUCACUGGGCGUAAAGGGUGCGCAGGCGGCCGGGUGUGUCAGAUGUGAAAUCCCGAGGCUUAACCUCGGAACUGCGUCUGAAACUACUCGGCUAGAGUAUUGGAGAGGGUAACGGAAUUCACGGUGUAGCAGUGAAAUGCGUAGAUAUCGGGAGGAACAUCAGUGGCGAAGGCGGCGAUCUGGGAAGAUACUGACGCUGAGGUGCGAAAGCGUGGGGAGCAAACAGG
Molecule: ribosomal RNA, 253 nt
Filed under: uncultured bacterium
Lineage: Bacteria
Description: partial 16S ribosomal RNA
Rfam family: Bacterial small subunit ribosomal RNA
Source: RNAcentral